This 426-nucleotide ribosomal RNA is filed under the name uncultured bacterium. RNAcentral's name for it is "bacterial SSU rRNA". It matches the Rfam family "Bacterial small subunit ribosomal RNA", at positions 354 to 796 of the family's 1533-position model. The record is from RNAcentral.
GUGGGGAAUCUUGCGCAAUGGGCGAAAGCCUGACGCAGCAACGCCGCGUGGGGGAUGAAGGCUCUCGGGUUGUAAACCCCUUUCAGCAGGGACGAACGAAGACGGUACCUGCAGAAGAAGCUCCGGCUAACUACGUGCCAGCAGCCGCGGUAACACGUAGGGGGCAAGCGUUGUCCGGAUUUAUUGGGCGUAAAGAGCUCGUAGGUGGCUGAGUAAGUCGGAUGUUAAAUCCCCAGGCUCAACCUGGGACACCACCCGAUACUGCUCUGGCUAGAGUCCGGUAGGGGAGCGUGGAAUUCCUGGUGUAGCGGUGAAAUGCGCAGAUAUCAGGAGGAACACCAGCGGCGAAGGCGGCGCUCUGGGCCGGUACUGACACUGAGGAGCGAAGGCGUGGGUAGCAAACAGGAUUAGAAACCCCGGUAGUCC